AAAAUGGCAGAAUAAGGGAAUAUUGAAGAAGACUAGAGAGUAGGAAAGACAUGAACUAUCACUCCAAAAUGAGAAUGACAUAUAAAGAGAAAGACUACCACACAUGAAAAAAAAGCUAAUGCGUUGUGUGGCACUUUCUU
Molecule: long non-coding RNA, 140 nt
Organism: Sus scrofa (pig)
Lineage: Eukaryota; Metazoa; Chordata; Mammalia; Artiodactyla; Suidae
Rfam family: TTC28 antisense RNA 1 conserved region 2
Source: Rfam